RNAcentral lists this ribosomal RNA (252 nucleotides) under uncultured bacterium. Its description in RNAcentral is "partial 16S ribosomal RNA". It matches the Rfam family "Bacterial small subunit ribosomal RNA", at positions 524 to 776 of the family's 1533-position model. The record is from RNAcentral.
UACGUAGGGGGCAAGCGUUGUCCGGAAUCAUUGGGCGUAAAGCGCGUGUAGGCGGCCCGGUAAGUCCGCUGUGAAAGUCCAGGCUCAACCCUGGGAUGCCGGUGGAUACUGUCGGGCUCGAGUCCGGAAGAGGAGUGUGGAAUUCCUGGUGUAGCGGUGAAAUGCGCAGAUAUCAGGAGGAACACCGAUGGCGAAGGCAGCACUCUGGGACGUGACUGACGCUGAGACGCGAAAGCGUGGGGAGCAAACAGG